RNAcentral lists this ribosomal RNA (478 nucleotides) under uncultured bacterium. RNAcentral describes it as "partial 16S ribosomal RNA". It matches the Rfam family "Bacterial small subunit ribosomal RNA", at positions 28 to 523 of the family's 1533-position model. The record is from RNAcentral.
GACGAACGCUGGCGGCGUGCUUAACACAUGCAAGUCGAACGGUAAGGCCCUUCGGGGUACACGAGUGGCGAACGGGUGAGUAACACGUGGGUGAUCUGCCCUGCACUUCGGGAUAAGCCUGGGAAACUGGGUCUAAUACCGGAUAGGACUCCGGACUGCAUGGUCUGGGGUGGAAAGCUUUUGCGGUGUGGGAUGGGCCCGCGGCCUAGCAGCUUGUUGGGGGGGUGAUGGCCUACCCAGGCGACGACGGGUAGCCGGCCUGAGAGGGUGACCGGCCACACUGGGUCUGAGAUACGGCCCAGACUCCUACGGGAGGCAGCAGUGGGGAAUAUUGCACAAUGGGCGCAAGCCUGAUGCAGCGACGCCGCGUGAGGGAUGACGGCCUUCGGGUUGUAAACCUCUUUCAGCAUCGACGAAGCGAAAGUGACGGUAGGUGCAGAGGAAGGACCGGCCAACUACGUGCCAGCCGCCGCGGUAA